Beta vulgaris subsp. vulgaris (sugar beet) is the source of this 2805-nucleotide long non-coding RNA. RefSeq lists it as uncharacterized. The record is from RefSeq and is a predicted model, not a curated record. The transcript has 2 exons. NCBI's taxonomy places the organism in Eukaryota, Viridiplantae, Streptophyta, Magnoliopsida, Caryophyllales, Amaranthaceae.
CAAUAUUUAUAAUAGUGAUAGAAAAAUCAGAAGGAGAAAUACGAGAAAGUUUAGGGGAGUGUUCUACUAAAGCCCAAAAAAAGACAAGCAAUAAUAUGAUGACAAGAAGAAAAAUAAAAGAAAAAGUGGGCUAAAAGCCAUCAUCAAUCAUGGAGCCAUGAAGCAAAACACGGGUGAAAAAAAAAGAACGAAACCUAAGACUAAAACAAAGAGGAAUCACGCAGCAAAACGAAACGAAGAAAGGAGAAAAAAAAAACCUGAGGAACAUUGAGGACGAUACAACAGUAGGGCAGUAGCGGCACUACAGAGGAGGAGAUUGAAGAGGAGACCAGAGAGGACAGUGGAUGCGGGACGCUAACGCGCGAGCAAGCGUCGUUCAUCUGAUUCUUCAUAUGAAUUUGGAGUUUAUCCCUCUCUUCUAUUAGUCUAUGUUAAUUACUAUAUUUAAUUUCAGAUUUUCACUCUCAAUUAGUUGGGUUGAUUAAGUUGUUAUGUCUAGCUAAAUUUCUAUGUUCUAGGACUAGAUGUAGUCUUUUAUUUUUCUGUCAAUGAGUUGAACUGAGUUGUUUGGAUUGAUUUAUUUUUAUUGCAAUUUGAUAAUCUUGGUUUGUUUUCAUAUAAUUGAUUUGGCCAGUUGAUUAUAUGUUUAAGAUAUUGGAUUAUUAGCGAAAGUAAAAGUUCAAUAUUAGUUCAUGGGCUUAUUAAACGUCAAGUAGUAUAAUUUUAGUAAUAGUUAUACACUUGGGGUUGUCUUUUACCUGAAUUUCUUUUUUGUAACGGGUUUAUAUUAAUUGUUAUGACCAUGGAAGUAGGCGUAAGAUUAGUAUAAAUACACGUUUUCUACCUUGGAAGAGGAGAUAAUAUAUCAUAGGAAGUUCGAUCAUUGCAAUACAAUAGCUUUUAAUCCGACAACUAAUUUAAUUUCAUUAUAGAAGGUAAUUGAUGAAAUCUAAGUCCUACAAUCAUUUCGUAAACAAAUGAAAUAUGACUUACCUAAUAUUACCACCAUAUCAGAUACUAUCUCCAUGCCACUUUAUCAAAAUAUUCAACUAGCUAGUAUGUCUUCAUGAUCUUAGGAUGUUGCCAUAAUGGAAAUAAUACUAGUAGAUUUCCACUACCGUUAAAUACACUUAAAUGCAUCUCGGCCUUUGAGUUAUUGUGAGAAUAAGUGGUUAUCUAGAUGUAGUGCACCAUAUUAUCUCGUAUCAAGAGCUUUAAUAAUGAUAACAAUAAUAUUGGAUACAUGGCUUUUCUGGAAAAAGCUAGGUGCAUAUCACGAUGGUUGAUUAUUUACUAUGUACAUUUUUUAGUUUGCUGGUUAAUUUAGUCCAUAAAAUAUAGGGAUACACAGUUAGGUGCAUAUCAUGAUUGUUUUCUAUAUAAGCAUAUACUUCCUCCGUUUUUUUUUACUCGCUACACUUCUCAUUUCACGGACUCCUAGGCAAUUUUUGGAGAAGAGAGAGGUAGAGAGUAAAAAGAAAAGGGACCCAUGUGGGAGGAGAGAGAUAGAGAGAGUUUAUUGCCCAAAAAAGAAGUGUAGCAAGUAAUGUGAAACUUCCCAUAAUGGAAAGUGUAGCGAGUAAAAAGAAACGGAGGAAGUAUGUAAAAAAAAAUCAAUUUAAAAUGGUGCAAAAAGGAACAAGAAUUACAUCUUGAAAUAUAAGGAGUAAUUUUUAAGAGGGUGUUUGGUAUAGAAAAACUUGAUGUAGGAAACGGAUUCCAAUAAGCGUUUCCAUUUCUAUAUGUUUCGUAUGAGUAUUUAUAUAGUAACAAAUACUGGUCCCAAAGGAAAACACAAUCCCCUCAUUUGUAAUCCUUAUCAAACUCGUGGAAACAAUUCACGUUUCCUUCCUCAAUCAUACCGUUUCCGGAGCGAAACACGAGCCCAGGCUUAAACAUAUUUAUUUUUUAAAUAACGACCACUUGACUUUGUUCGGUAAUAGACACGUGUCAAAAUUCUGAUGGUAGGAGGAGGGUGUCAUAUGGCCAUCAACGGUAUCAUGCACACCUUUUAAUAUAUUAUAGUUGUAUAGAUUUAUCAUGAAAUUUUAAAUGCUAACAUUAGAGAAGAACUUGAUAGUGAGAUGGCGGUGGACAUCACUAUUCAAUAAGAAAACACAAAAGACUAAUGAAGCAUAAUUAAAUCACAAUAAUUCGUGGUGGGAGUGACUAUUAAGAGUAGAUUAUAAUGCUCAAAGUUUGAGUAUAAUAUUGGUUAGUUGGUGCCGCAACAUUUAGUAUAAAUAGAGGGAACAUAGACGAGUGAUUUAGCAACAAUACAAGCUACAACAUUCUCAAUUGCAUAAUUAAACACAAGAUUAGUGCACAACACUUCCAAACAAAAGCAAUGGAGACUAAAGUUGGCUACAAAAGAAUCAUAUUAGCUGUCUUUCUCAUCCUUGCAACAGUGAUGGUGCAAAUCCUUGCUGUGAAAGCACAAGAAGAAAAUCCAAUGUGUGAGGAACACAAUGGGCAUCCAUGCACUCCGAAAGUUAGAGAAUGUUGUCCUAAUACAGGACGCCAAUGUGUUGCUACCUCGUCCAAUGGAUUUCGAUGCAUGUAAAUGUGUCGUCGAUAUCAACUCCUAAAUUGGCGAUACUUCUCCCCUACAUAUUGAUGGACCUUUCUUUCUGUUUUACGCAAUUGUCUUUUCUUUUUCACCCCCUGUUGUUGUUUUAUGUAUCAAGGGUGACUUUAUUUCCUGUAAUAUUUUCGUGAGAAUUUAUGGUCUAUCUUAACUAGCCAUAAGAAAACUAGAUAUGGUUUUCAUGUGCUAUAUAAAUAAAAAUUGUGUGUAUUAAUUUA